UACAGAGGUGCCAAGCGUUGUUCGGAUUUAUUGGGCGUAAAGGGUGCGUAGGCGGUUGUGUAAGUCGGAUGUGAAAUCCCGGAGCCUAACUCCGGAAUGGCAUUCGAAACUACACAGCUCGAGGUCUGGAGAGGUGACUGGAAUUCUCGGUGUAGCAGUGAAAUGCGUAGAUAUCGAGAGGAACACCAGAGGCGAAAGCGAGUCAUUGGACAGAACCUGGCGCUGAUGCACGAAAGCCAGGGGAGCAAACGGG
RNAcentral lists this ribosomal RNA (253 nucleotides) under uncultured prokaryote. Its description in RNAcentral is "partial 16S ribosomal RNA". It matches the Rfam family "Bacterial small subunit ribosomal RNA", at positions 524 to 776 of the family's 1533-position model. The record is from RNAcentral.